AGAGCCUUAGUUUAAGAUAAAAUAUCUGAGUUGCAGUCAGAUGAUGUGGUGUAGCCGCAGGCUCUA
Molecule: transfer RNA, 66 nt
Filed under: Naja atra (Chinese cobra)
Lineage: Eukaryota; Metazoa; Chordata; Lepidosauria; Squamata; Elapidae
Description: tRNA-Ala
Source: RNAcentral